RNA transcript from Homo sapiens (human), 7346 nucleotides. It is a transcript of the gene named sperm associated antigen 17, with no coding region annotated. Lineage: Eukaryota; Metazoa; Chordata; Mammalia; Primates; Hominidae. The record is from RefSeq and is marked reviewed. The transcript is spliced from 50 exons.
ACUGUGGUAGCGGGGACGCUUAGGCAGGGCCUGCGCCCAGUUUAGAGGCCAAUGCUUCUCCCGUCCUUUGCAUGGCACCCAAGAAGGAGAAAGGAGGAACUGUGAACACCAGUUCUAAGAUAUGGGAACCCUCGCUCAUAGCUGCACAGUUCAAUCAGAACGAUUGGCAGGCCUCCAUUGCUUUUGUGGUUGGGAACCAGAUUGAAGAUGAUCUUCUCAUCCAAGCCCUUACCGUGGCUGUCCAGGUCCCUCAGCGUAAACUCUUCAGUAUGGUGUCGUGGCAAGACAUUCUCCAGCAGAUUAAUGAAAUAAAUACACUUGUUGGAUCUGCUUCAUCUAAAAAGGCAAAAAAACCUGUAGGUGGUAAUGCUCCUUUAUAUUAUGAGGUGUUAACGGCAGCAAAAGCAAUUAUGGAUAGUGGAGAGAAAUUAACCUUACCACUGAUAGGGAAACUCUUGAAAUUUCAACUUCUCCAGAUUAAAUUUAAGGACCAACAGCGACGGGAAAAUGAAAAGAAGGUAAUAGAAGACAAACCUAAGUUAGAAAAGGAUAAAGGGAAAGCAAAAUCUCCCAAGGAGAAAAAGGCUCCAAGUGCCAAGCCUGCCAAAGGAAAGGGAAAGGAUCAGCCUGAGGCAAAUGCACCAGUGAAAAAGACCACCCAGUUAAAGCGGAGAGGAGAAGACGACCACACCAAUCGUUACAUUGACGAUGAGCCAGAUGAUGGUGCCCAACAUUACAUUAUAGUUGUGGGCUUUAACAAUCCUCAGCUAUUAGCAAUUAUGGCUGAGCUUGGCAUUCCUAUAACCAGCGUGAUUAAAAUAUCUUCAGAGAAUUAUGAACCUCUGCAGACACACCUGGCAGCAGUUAACCAGCAGCAGGAAGUUCUUCUUCAGUCAGAAGAUCUAGAAGCAGAAAAAUUGAAGAAAGAAAAUGCCAUAAAAGAGCUUAAAACUUUCUGGAAGUACUUGGAACCAGUCCUGAAUAAUGAGAAACCUGAAACAAAUCUCUUUGAUGUUGCUCGACUUGAGUACAUGGUCAAAGCAGCUGAUUUUCCUUCUGACUGGUCAGAUGGUGAGAUGAUGCUGAAAUUGGGCACUGAUAUUUUUGAAAAUAUUGCCUGCUUGAUGUAUGACAUCCUGGAUUGGAAAAGGCAGCACCAGCACUAUUUGGAAAGCAUGCAGCUUAUUAAUGUUCCACAAGUGGUUAAUGAGAAACCUGUAUUAGAAGCCAUGCCAACUUCAGAGGCUCCACAACCUGCUGUACCAGCUCCUGGAAAGAAGAAAGCACAGUAUGAAGAACCGCAAGCUCCACCACCAGUGACUUCAGUCAUCACAACUGAAGUAGACAUGAGAUAUUACAAUUAUUUGCUGAAUCCAAUUCGAGAGGAAUUCAUUUCUGUGCCCCUGAUACUGCAUUGUAUGCUGGAACAGGUUGUUGCAACUGAAGAAGAUCUCGUCCCACCCAGUCUGCGGGAGCCAUCCCCCAGAGCAGACGGGCUAGACCACAGAAUCGCAGCUCACAUUGUGUCCCUUCUGCCCUCACUCUGUCUCUCAGAGAGGGAGAAAAAGAAUCUUCAUGACAUAUUUUUAUCUGAAGAAGAAAAUGAAAGCAAAGCAGUGCCCAAAGGCCCCCUCCUACUGAACUAUCAUGAUGCACACGCCCACAAGAAGUACGCACUACAGGACCAAAAGAAUUUUGAUCCAGUUCAAAUUGAGCAGGAGAUGCAGUCCAAGUUGCCACUGUGGGAAUUUCUUCAAUUCCCUCUACCCCCACCAUGGAACAACACUAAACGUCUAGCUACAAUUCAUGAGCUUAUGCACUUUUGUACGAGUGAUGUCUUGAGCUGGAAUGAAGUAGAACGAGCCUUCAAGGUGUUUACUUUUGAGAGCCUGAAGCUCUCUGAGGUUGAUGAAAAAGGGAAACUGAAACCUUCUGGGAUGAUGUGUGGGUCAGAUUCUGAAAUGUUCAACAUACCGUGGGACAACCCUGCCAGAUUUGCUAAACAGAUAAGGCAGCAAUAUGUCAUGAAAAUGAAUACUCAAGAGGCCAAGCAGAAAGCAGAUAUUAAAAUCAAAGACAGAACACUAUUUGUGGAUCAGAAUUUGUCAAUGUCUGUGCAAGAUAAUGAAAGCAACCGAGAACCUUCAGAUCCUAGUCAGUGUGAUGCUAACAAUAUGAAGCAUUCUGACUUGAAUAAUCUCAAACUCUCAGUCCCUGAUAAUAGACAGCUGUUAGAGCAGGAGAGCAUCAUGAAGGCUCAGCCCCAACAUGAGUCUCUGGAGCAGACCACAAACAAUGAGAUCAAAGAUGAUGCAGUCACAAAGGCUGAUUCUCAUGAAAAGAAACCCAAGAAGAUGAUGGUGGAAGCAGAUUUAGAGGACAUAAAGAAAACACAGCAGCGCAGUCUAAUGGACUGGAGUUUUACUGAACAUUUUAAACCGAAAGUACUGCUUCAGGUCCUUCAAGAAGCCCAUAAGCAAUAUAGGUGUGUUGAUUCUUACUACCACACCCAAGACAACUCUUUACUUUUAGUCUUUCACAAUCCAAUGAAUAGACAACGUUUGCAUUGUGAAUAUUGGAACAUUGCUCUCCACUCCAAUGUUGGAUUCAGGAAUUAUUUGGAACUUGUUGCAAAAUCUAUUCAAGAUUGGAUUACAAAAGAAGAAGCUAUAUAUCAGGAAUCUAAAAUGAAUGAGAAAAUCAUCAGGACCAGAGCUGAGCUGGAAUUGAAAUCUUCUGCUAAUGCCAAACUUACUUCUGCUAGCAAAAUUUUUUCCAUUAAAGAAUCUAAAAGUAACAAAGGAAUCAGCAAAACAGAGAUAUCAGAUCAAGAAAAAGAAAAAGAGAAGGAAAAGAUUCCUUUCAUUUUAGAAGGCUCUCUCAAGGCAUGGAAAGAAGAGCAACAUCGAUUAGCAGAAGAGGAGCGCUUAAGGGAAGAAAAGAAAGCAGAGAAGAAGGGUAAAGAAGCUGGUAAAAAGAAAGGCAAGGAUAACGCAGAGAAAGAGGAUAGUAGGUCUUUGAAGAAAAAAUCACCUUACAAGGAGAAAUCUAAAGAAGAACAAGUCAAGAUCCAAGAAGUAACAGAAGAGUCCCCCCACCAACCAGAACCUAAGAUAACUUACCCGUUUCACGGAUACAAUAUGGGAAAUAUACCCACUCAAAUCUCAGGGUCAAAUUACUACCUGUAUCCUUCUGAUGGGGGGCAGAUUGAAGUGGAAAAGACAAUGUUUGAAAAAGGCCCAACUUUUAUCAAAGUGAGAGUGGUAAAGGACAACCACAAUUUUAUGAUUCAUUUAAAUGACCCUAAGGAAAUUGUGAAAAAGGAAGAGAAAGGGGAUUAUUAUUUAGAAGAGGAAGAAGAAGGAGAUGAGGAACAAAGUCUUGAAACGGAAGUAUCAGAUGCAAAGAAUAAAGCUUUCAGCAAGUUUGGAUCUUUUUCUGCCACCUUAGAAAAUGGAAUCUGCCUCUCGAUAAGUUACUAUGGAUCAAAUGGAAUGGCACCAGAAGAUAAGGAUCCUGAUUUAGAAACAAUAUUGAAUAUCCCUUCAGCACUCACUCCAACAGUGGUUCCUGUUAUAGUGACCGUUCCUCAAAGCAAAGCUAAAGGGAAAAUAAAAGGCAAAGAAAAACCCAAAGAAUCCCUUAAAGAAGAAGAACACCCAAAAGAAGAAGAGAAAAAGGAAGAAGAAGUAGAACCAGAACCUGUUUUACAAGAGACUUUGGAUGUUCCCACCUUCCAGAGCCUAAAUGUGUCUUGCCCCAGUGGGCUCCUGUUGACUUUCAUUGGACAAGAAUCUACAGGUCAAUAUGUUAUAGAUGAGGAACCCACCUGGGACAUCAUGGUCCGUCAGAGCUACCCCCAGAGGGUGAAGCACUAUGAGUUCUAUAAAACGGUGAUGCCACCCGCAGAGCAGGAGGCUUCAAGGGUUAUCACCAGUCAAGGCACUGUUGUCAAAUAUAUGUUGGAUGGAUCCACACAGAUUCUCUUUGCAGAUGGUGCUGUGAGCAGGAGUCCCAAUUCAGGUCUUAUUUGUCCUCCUUCUGAAAUGCCAGCAACGCCUCACAGUGGAGAUUUGAUGGACUCUAUUUCUCAGCAGAAAUCAGAAACGAUACCAUCUGAGAUUACCAACACAAAGAAAGGAAAAAGUCACAAAAGUCAGUCAUCAAUGGCCCAUAAGGGUGAAAUCCAUGACCCUCCUCCAGAGGCAGUUCAAACUGUAACUCCUGUGGAGGUUCACAUAGGCACCUGGUUUACAACCACACCUGAAGGAAAUCGGAUCGGCACCAAAGGAUUAGAAAGAAUAGCAGACUUGACCCCAUUGUUAUCCUUUCAGGCCACAGAUCCUGUCAAUGGAACGGUUAUGACAACUCGAGAAGACAAAGUUGUCAUAGUUGAAAGGAAAGAUGGUACUCGGAUAGUGGAUCAUGCUGAUGGUACCAGAAUCACAACCUUUUAUCAAGUUUAUGAAGAUCAAAUUAUUCUGCCAGAUGAUCAAGAAACAACCGAGGGUCCUCGGACUGUCACCAGGCAGGUGAAGUGUAUGCGGGUAGAAAGCUCACGCUAUGCCACUGUUAUCGCCAACUGUGAGGACAGUAGCUGCUGUGCCACCUUUGGAGAUGGAACAACUAUUAUUGCAAAGCCACAGGGAACAUACCAGGUGUUACCUCCAAACACAGGCUCUCUUUAUAUUGACAAGGAUUGUUCAGCUGUGUACUGCCAUGAGUCAAGCAGUAAUAUAUACUAUCCUUUUCAAAAGCGUGAGCAGCUGCGAGCUGGCAGGUACAUCAUGAGGCAUACUUCAGAGGUUAUCUGUGAGGUUCUGGAUCCUGAGGGAAACACUUUUCAGGUCAUGGCUGAUGGUAGCAUAUCAACUAUAUUACCUGAAAAAAAAUUGGAAGAUGAUUUAAAUGAGAAAACUGAGGGCUAUGAUAGUCUGUCCUCUAUGCACCUUGAAAAGAAUCAUCAGCAAAUCUAUGGUGAACAUGUCCCCAGGUUUUUUGUUAUGUAUGCUGAUGGAUCAGGAAUGGAACUUCUUCGAGACAGUGACAUAGAAGAAUAUCUAUCUUUGGCAUAUAAAGAAUCAAAUACUGUUGUUCUCCAAGAGCCAGUGCAGGAACAGCCAGGCACCCUAACCAUCACAGUCCUUCGCCCUUUCCAUGAAGCAUCACCAUGGCAAGUAAAAAAGGAAGAUACAAUUGUCCCUCCUAAUCUCCGGUCAAGGUCAUGGGAAACAUUUCCCUCAGUUGAGAAAAAAACUCCAGGACCUCCGUUUGGUACUCAGAUUUGGAAAGGCCUUUGCAUUGAGUCCAAACAGCUAGUGAGUGCCCCGGGUGCCAUACUCAAGAGCCCCAGUGUGCUACAGAUGCGCCAAUUCAUUCAGCAUGAGGUCAUAAAGAAUGAGGUGAAACUGAGGCUGCAGGUUUCCCUUAAGGAUUACAUAAACUAUAUUCUAAAGAAAGAAGAUGAGCUGCAGGAAAUGAUGGUUAAAGAUUCCAGAACUGAGGAGGAGAGAGGCAAUGCUGCUGAUCUCCUCAAGCUGGUUAUGUCUUUCCCUAAAAUGGAGGAAACUACAAAAAGUCAUGUUACUGAAGUUGCAGCUCACCUAACUGAUUUAUUCAAGCAGUCUUUGGCUACGCCUCCAAAAUGCCCACCAGACACAUUUGGUAAAGAUUUCUUUGAAAAGACAUGGAGACACACAGCAUCCUCAAAACGCUGGAAAGAAAAGAUAGACAAAACGAGGAAGGAAAUUGAGACAACACAGAAUUACCUAAUGGAUAUUAAGAACCGCAUAAUACCACCCUUUUUUAAAUCUGAAUUGAACCAGUUAUAUCAGUCUCAGUAUAAUCACCUGGACAGUCUUUCCAAAAAACUGCCUUCUUUUACAAAGAAAAAUGAAGAUGCAAACGAAACAGCUGUUCAAGAUACAUCUGAUCUUAAUCUAGAUUUCAAGCCACAUAAGGUUUCAGAACAGAAAUCCUCAAGUGUGCCUAGUCUUCCAAAACCAGAGAUUUCUGCAGAUAAGAAGGAUUUCACUGCUCAGAACCAAACUGAAAAUUUAACAAAAUCUCCUGAAGAAGCAGAAUCUUAUGAGCCCGUGAAAAUUCCAACCCAGUCCUUGCUGCAGGAUGUUGCGGGACAAACAAGAAAAGAAAAAGUGAAGUUGCCUCAUUAUUUGCUGAGUUCCAAGCCUAAGUCUCAACCUCUUGCAAAGGUGCAAGAUUCUGUUGGAGGAAAAGUGAACACAUCCUCUGUUGCAUCUGCUGCCAUUAAUAAUGCAAAGUCAUCCCUUUUUGGGUUCCAUCUUCUCCCAUCAUCAGUCAAGUUUGGAGUGCUUAAGGAAGGACAUACCUAUGCCACAGUUGUAAAGCUCAAGAAUGUUGGAGUGGACUUCUGCAGGUUUAAAGUAAAGCAGCCCCCACCCAGCACAGGACUGAAAGUGACUUACAAACCUGGACCUGUGGCAGCUGGUAUGCAGACAGAACUGAAUAUAGAGUUAUUUGCCACAGCUGUUGGAGAGGAUGGGGCCAAGGGAUCAGCACACAUCUCUCACAAUAUCGAGAUUAUGACAGAGCAUGAGGUUCUGUUCCUACCUGUGGAAGCAACUGUUUUAACAAGCAGCAAUUAUGAUAAACGACCAAAAGACUUUCCCCAGGGAAAAGAAAAUCCAAUGGUCCAGAGAACUUCUACAAUUUAUUCCUCCACACUUGGAGUCUUCAUGUCUCGUAAAGUUUCUCCACAUUAGGAACCCCUCCUUCUUACUUCAGAAAAAGUAUUCUAAAAUGGCAAGAUCUGCAUGAGUUUAGAGUCAGUCAGAUCUGGGUUGACAACUGAACUCUGCCCCUUACCAACUAUGCUACAAGUCAAGCCAGAUUCCUUAUCUAUAAGUUUCUUCUCGGUACAACUCAAUAGCCUCCAUAAUCCUCUCAGCCUACAGAGGAUGAGAAAGGAAAGAAGUCAUCACAACAUACUCCAUCAUCCCAGGACACUGAAACUGGAAGAACUGACCAGAAAUUUGCCAAAUGAAAUAGCUUCAAUCUGUUUAAUAAAGACGUGCGAAUAGAGUGCCAAAAAGCAUUUAAAGACAUUUUUGGUUUUCUUAUUUUUUAAUGUACAGGGAAGAGACUGAGUGUCAUGGACUCAGGUGGGAUGAUAUCUAGACACUCUGAAUAGGGCAGGUCCCAGGAACACCUGAAAGGAGCACAUAUUGAUCAAAGAGAUUCAGGACUACUCCCAUCUUUGGUUACAAGAGAAGGAAACAGGUUAUAAUCCCCAUCUUUAAAUCUCAUCAACUUUUUGCCAAAAAAAUGGCUUUCUGGUUGAUACAGAAUAAAACUUUUACUAAAAA